RNAcentral lists this ribosomal RNA (514 nucleotides) under uncultured bacterium. Its description in RNAcentral is "partial 16S ribosomal RNA". It matches the Rfam family "Bacterial small subunit ribosomal RNA", at positions 28 to 523 of the family's 1533-position model. The record is from RNAcentral.
GAUGAACGCUGCGGCGUGCCUAAUACAUGCAAGUCGAGCGAAUGGAUUAAGAGCUUGCUCUUAUGAAGUUAGCGGCGGACGGGUGAGUAACACGUGGGUAACCUGCCCAUAAGACUGGGAUAACUCCGGGAAACCGGGGCUAAUACCGGAUAACAUUUUGAACCGCAUGGUUCGAAAUUGAAAGGCGGCUUCGGCUGUCACUUAUGGAUGGACCCGCGUCGCAUUAGCUAGUUGGUGAGGUAACGGCUCACCAAGGCAACGAUGCGUAGCCGAGCGUAGAGGGUGAUCGGCCACACUGGGACGGGGAAACGGCCCAGACUCCUACGGGGGGCAGCAGUGGGGAAUCGUCCGCAAUGGACGAAAGUCUGACGGAGCAACGCCGCGUGAGUGAUGAAGGCUUUCGGGUCGUAAAGCUCUGUUGUUAGGGAAGAACAAGUGCUAGUUGAAUAAGCUGGCACCUUGACGGUACCUAACCAGAAAGCCACGGCUAACUACGUGCCAGCCGCCGCAGUAA